CCAAUGCACAGGUGUUGCUGACAGUAUAAAUACCAAAUUUCACUGAGAAUCUUCGUAGGUAAAGUUAAAUAUCAGCUACCAACAGACGCCAUCUGCUCAUUUUCAAAAAACAAGACAAUGGCUUCAACUUCACUCCUGAUUUGCCUAUUUGUUACAGUGUUCGUUGGACUGCUUGCUUCUCCUGCAACAGCUCAAGCUAACUGGGUUGUCGGAGGAGGAUACAAUGGCGGUUAUGAUCAACCAAUUGGUCUAACUCAAAUCUUGACUAGUAUCAUACCCUAUGUAAAUGCAUUUGUACAUAUGCCAAAUCUGGAUAUUACUGCCUACCACAUUCCACAUCUGGGGUUCAUCUAUAAUUCUAAUAAUCAAUACUCUCCCUAUUAUGCUGUUGGACAUUAUCCUUUCGUACACUAUUAAGAUAAUAUAGAGAAAUGACUAAGCUUAAAACCAAAUUACAGAUUAAGGAAGAAAAGAAAGUUAUAUAUCACAAAUAAGAUAUUUGUUAGAUCAAAGGAUUUUUAUUAAUUGUUUUAAAGGUUCCCAGCAAAAUAAAACUUAGAUUAAUCAUGACUUUCUUCUUAAUAAAAAAUAUACUUCAUAAAAAUAUUUCUUUUAAGUUAAACUUGAAAUAAAGCCAGUUUUCCUCUAGAGAAAUCUUUCCUUCUGAAAUAGUAUUCCUUAACUCUUAACCUUUAAGUGCUAAACAGAAAUAAAAUACUAUCUUCAGCUCUAUUCUUGUGUUAAAUAAAUGAAUGAAGGAUUUAGUCUUACACCAAGAGCAUAGCAAGCCUUUAUUUCUUUGUGUAUAAGUCAUGUUUGCAAUAAAUUUCCCAAUUUAUGCUCUCUUGAAUGACAUUAUGAAUGAUUUAUGAAAAGCUUCAAAUAAAAACAAUAAUAUAACUUCAGAAAAGAUUUGAUCGAAUGCAACAUAAUGUUAUUGUAAGCCCUAGCACUCAAAGACAUUAGAAUAUUAUUUAAUACAGAUUGUGGAAAAAUAAAAGAAGUAAAACAUUUUGGCAAGA
Molecule: long non-coding RNA, 1022 nt
Organism: Octopus sinensis (East Asian common octopus)
Lineage: Eukaryota; Metazoa; Mollusca; Cephalopoda; Octopoda; Octopodidae
Exons: 5
Source: RefSeq, a predicted model, not a curated record